CCCUCUGUACUCCCGUAUACCCGGGUGACCAUUGUUUAAAUUUUCCUCAGAUUUACGUUUUGCGGCUUCCCUAUUCUAUAGGGGCUAGGAAUAGAGCACGAACACUGAGACUGGUACCGUUUGGUGACGGCAAGCAUGUCAAUGAUAAGGGACACCCCUUAAAAAGAUCGGCAGUAGAGGUAACCACCAGCCCUUGAGGUCAGUCUACCGUGGCGCGGCCCUCCGGGUCCCGGCUCCUGGCGGCUGCGGCCCUCAGAGGCGAGCGGAGACCGACAACGCCCUCCGAUGGAAGCGCGGCUCGUCUUGGUCCGGCUGCCGGUACCAACCAUCGACCGCAGCGGCACGACGCUCUCGCGACGGCGGUAUCUGCCGACAUGGCUCCUUCUGGCGCCUACGCCCGUGGUGGCAACCGCAGGUCCUCUUCCCCUCCCUCCCCGCUCCGGUGCGGUACGCAGGUUCCAGCGCAGCGUAGCGGCUAGCGUGGCAGCGCGGCACGUCCCGUGGCCGACAUCCGGCGGCUGCAGGCGGCCCGACGCCAGCGACGAUGGUCAAGCUCCCUCCAGCCACGUACGCGGCGAACGAGGACGGCACGGACCCCCGUAGAUACCGGCGACCGGCGGAGGGCAAUUCCGGCUUCCGGUACCAACGCGGCCUGUCGCAAUGCAACGGCAACGGUCGUCCAAUCAUGACUAAGACACAUCCUUGUUCUUUUUAACCUUAUCCUAGUGGACUACUACAUCGUUAAUUCUAGGUUCUCAAAACUAAACAUACGAAGUACACACUUCAUGCCUAAGACUCUUAGUCCUACGAGAUCAAGCACUGAAAGGUACAUGAUUAGUUUAAGAAGCUACGAGAUGAAAGAGGAAGAGACCAGUACCGGCUUAAACAAAGAAGCCGGCUAACGAAAAAAAAGAAGGUGAAACACACAAAGCGCACUCACUUAUACGCAUUCCUAUUUGUUAGGAAAGAAUCUAAUGACUAACUGGUGUUCUUUUGUACUAGAUUAUCUGUCUCUAAUUUUAUCCCUUUGUGAUGAUCAAAAGGACUAGUUCCGGAAAUUAGGAACCUAGCAACCCCUAUCUGUUCUAGACAAGAAGUAGGAGACGUUACUACAAGACGAGAAGAGAACAGGCCGGUUUAGCGAGCUAUCCUCUCGUUUCACGUACUAUUCCACAAAAUUCACUUUUUAUUUUUUGCUCUCUCAAACUUACUUUCUACUAGGUAGUCAGAAAUAAUUACUAUCUUCACCCCAUAAACAUGGUGCACCUUCAUGUGUACUACGAACCGCCAGUUCAUUUAUGUAUCAAUGAAUUCUCGGUUCCUUAAUAUAUCAACAGAACUUUCGGUACUUUCCUGUACCAACGAACUCUUGGUUUGUUGGAUAGAUUAUCAAUUGAAUUAAGAUUAAUUGAAUUAAUUAUUCGUUGAUAAGAUAAGAAUUGUUCAGGUUCACUCGCACAGUAGUAGGACAUCGAUAGAAGUAUAUCUGGUGUGCACCUUUCCGGUCUUCAGUUGCACAGCUCUCUUCUGUCGUCGUCCUGAUGGUCAUACAUGGCGAGAGGAGAGGCUCUCUUUUAUGUCAGGUGUAUUUAUACUUCCUAGUAAAAAUGAGGGAGCAUCAAAUCUAAAAAUACAACAAGUAGCAGAAAUAAAAUUGCCGCUGUUAUUGCCACAACUUAUUUCUAAGAAGCCUAGAAAGAAACUGCUCGGUAGACAGGAUACCAAACCCUACCUAUACCUUUGGUCAAACAAGUUCAUUCCUGCCGCACUGCCGCCGCCGUAGGAGUACUACCUGGACACAGGAGCCCGAGGCGGCAACGCUGCCGCAAACGAAGUCGUUGCCGCGCCUCGAACCCUCCAUCAGGUCUUCGCCUACGUCUAACACCAGACGUAGCUGUUUUAGACCUUCUGUCUUGUACACGACCCGAGCACCAAGCACCUACAACCAUACCAAAGGAGGAAGCCGCAGAAUUAGUACCACCCCACGGUCUAGACCUCAAGCUACUGUACAGGUCCUACAACAGAGCCAGACAAAGCAAAUUGCUGUUCCCGAAGUAAAAACUACUCGGUGGAACUUCCAGGUGCUUCGACGUAUAGUCGCUACCUCGGCACAGCUCGAGCCCACUCCUCCACUAAAAAGUAAGAAAAGAAGCCACCGACGAUACCACCACGGCCUCUGACCACUGCACGUAACCACAGUUUGAGUUUUUACAAGACGAUAGAAAAGUCAAAAUAGUAUAGCCAGAAAU
This 2249-nucleotide ribosomal RNA is filed under the name Triticum aestivum (bread wheat). RNAcentral's name for it is "partial small subunit ribosomal RNA". The record is from RNAcentral. Lineage: Eukaryota; Viridiplantae; Streptophyta; Magnoliopsida; Poales; Poaceae.